CCACCGGGGGGCCCCCUUCCUGCCCCCGCCGGCGCCUGGCCCGGCCGCCCCGACUUCCCCCGCGCCCGGCUUCGCUUCGCCCGACGCUGGCUCUGCGCGGCUGCAGGCGGGCGGGGUCCGCCAUGGGCAACGCGGCUGGUAGUGCGGAGCCCCCCUUGGGCCCCGCCGCGCCCCGUGCCCGGCAGCCGAUGCCUGCGGCCGGGGAGCUGGAGGAGCGGUUCUCGCGUGCGCUGAACUGCAUGAACUUGCCUCCGGACAAGGUGCAGCUGCUGAGCCAGUAUGACGAUGAGAAGAAGUGGGAACUCAUCUGUGACCAGGAGCGGUUUCAAGUCAAGAACCCCCCUGAAGCCUACAUCCAGAAGCUGAAGAGCUACCUCGAUGUUGGGGGGGUCAGCCGCAAGGUCGCAGCAGACUGGAUGUCCAACCUGGGGUUUAAGAGGCGUGGUCAAGAGUCCACACAAGUGCUUCGGGAGCUGGAGACCUCCCUGAGAACCAACCACAUCGGGUGGGUGCAGGAGUUCCUUAAUGAGGAGAACCGCGGCCUGGACGUGCUCCUUGAAUAUCUGGCCUUUGCCCAGUGUUCUGUCACGUAUGACAUAGAGAGCGCAGACAGUGGGGAGAAGAACCCUGAGAAGGGCAAGCCCCUGGAGCAGUCAGUAGAGGACCUCAGCAAGGGGCCACCCUCUUCUCUGCCCAGGAGCCGCCACCUGACUGUCAAGUGCCCCCCUUCUCCCCGGCUGACCCCCGCGCACAGCAGGAAAGCACUGCGCAGUUCCCGCAUCGUCAGCCAGAAGGAUGACGUCCACGUCUGUAUCAUGUGCCUGCGCGCCAUCAUGAACUACCAGUCUGGCUUUAGCCUUGUCAUGAACCACCCGGCCUGCGUCAACGAGAUCACGCUGAGCCUCAACAACAAGAACCCCAGGACCAAGGCUCUGGUGCUGGAGCUCCUGGCGGCUGUGUGCUUGGUGCGUGGAGGGCACGACAUCAUCCUUGCAGCUUUCGACAACUUCAAAGAGGUGUGUGGGGAGCGGCACCGCUUUGAGAAGCUGAUGGAAUAUUUCCGCAAUGAGGACAGCAACAUUGACUUCAUGGUGGCCUGUGUGCAGUUCAUCAACAUUGUCGUGCACUCUGUGGAAAACAUGAAUUUCCGAGUCUUCCUGCAGUAUGAGUUUACAAACCUGGGCCUGGACCUGUGCCUGGAGAGGCUCCGGCUCACAGAGAGUGACAAGCUUCGAGUGCAGAUCCAGGCCUACCUGGACAAUGUGUUUGAUGUGAGCACGCUGCUGGAGGAUACGGAGACCAAGAACGCUGUGCUGGAGCACAUGGAGGAGCUGCAGGAGCAGACGACACUGCUGACAGAGCGGCUGCGGGACGCAGAGAACGAGUCCAUGGCUAAGAUUGCGGAGCUGGAGAAGCAGCUGAGCCAGGCGCGCAAGGAGCUGGAGACACUGCGGGAGCGUGUGGGAGAGGCGAAUCCCUCGAGCGGUGAGGUGUGGACCCUUGCAGACGCGCCCCCGGCCCCAGCGCGGCCCUCGGCGCUGGAGCUGAAGCUAGGGGAGCUGGAGGCGCAGGGGCUGCUGCGUGUGCUGCGCGGUCCCGGGGACGCCAUCGCCAUCGACAUCCUGCCGGUCGCCUCGGCAGCUCCAGGCAGGGACGCAGCGACUCCGGGGGCGCCUGUCGGUUUGCCCUGCCCAGAAUCGCCGCUGCAAGCCGCGUCGUUGCUGCAGUCGCCGCCAGGCCCCCCCACCUCUCCAGACGCCCCGGAGCCUCCGCCCUCACCACUGCCUCUGGGCGCCCCGGAGCCCCCGCCUGCGCCCCCGCCGCCUCCCGGAACCCGGGGCCAAGUGCCCCCGCCACCCCCGCCGCCGCCGCCGCCUCCCGGAACCGAGGGCCAAGUCCCCCCGCCACCCCCGCCGCCGCCGCCGCCGCCGCCUCCCGGAACCGAGGGCCAAGUGCCCCCGCCGCCGCCGCCCCCUCCUGGAACCGAGGGGCAGGUGCCGCCCCCGCCGCCGCCCCCGGGAGGCUCCCCAGACGCCCCUGGCGGGCCUGGCACAGAGACAGGCCCGGGCUUGAAGACCAAGAAGCCCAUCCAGACCAAGUUCCGGAUGCCGCUGCUGAACUGGGUGGCCCUGAAGCCCAGCCAGAUCACAGGCACCGUCUUCAACGAGCUCAACGACGAGAAGGUGUUACAGGAGCUGGACAUGAGUGACUUUGAGGAACAGUUCAAGACCAAGUCACAGGGUCCCAGCCUGGACCUCAGCGCCCUCAAGGGCAGGACUGCACAGAAGGGUCCUAGCCAGGCCACGCUCAUUGAGGCCAACCGGGCCAAGAACCUGGCCAUCACCCUGCGUAAAGGCAACAUGAGUGCCGACCGAAUCUGCCAGGCUAUUGAGACGUACGACCUGCAGGCUCUGGGUCUGGACUUCCUGGAGCUGCUGACCCGCUUCCUACCGACAGAGUAUGAGCGCAGCCUCAUUGCCCGCUUCGAGCAGGAGAGGCAGCCGCUGGAGCAGCUGUCAGAGGAAGACCAGUUCAUGCUGCGAUUCAGCCGCAUUCCGCGCCUGCCUGAGCGCAUGGCCACACUCACCUUCCUGGGCAGCUUCCCAGACACAGCCCAGCUGCUCAUGCCGCAACUGAAUGCCAUCAUUGCAGCCUCCAUGUCCAUCAAGUCAUCUGACAAACUCCGCCAGAUUCUGGAGAUCGUCCUGGCCUUUGGUAACUACAUGAACAGCAGCAAGCGAGGGGCAGCUUACGGCUUCCGGCUGCAGAGCCUGGAUGUGUUGCUGGAGAUGAAGUCCACUGACCGAAAGCAGACUCUGCUGCAUUACCUGGUGAAAGUCAUUGCUGAGAAGUACCCACAGCUAUCUGGCUUCCACAGUGACCUGCACUUCCUGGACAAGGCGGGCUCAGUGUCUCUGGACAGUGUUCUGGCCGAUGUGCGCAGCCUGCAGCGAGGCCUGGAGCUGGUGCAGCGGGAGUUCGUGCGGCAAGACGACUGUGUGGUACUCAAGGAGUUCCUGAGGACCAACUCGCCCACCAUGGAUAAGCUACUGGCUGACAGCAAGACGGCCCAGGAGGCCUAUGACUCUGUGGUGGAGUACUUCGGAGAAAACCCCAAGACUAUGUCGCCCUCUGUGUUCUUCUCCCUCUUCAGCAGAUUCGUCAAAGCCUACAAGGGCGCAGAGCAGGAGGUGGAGCAGUGGAAGAAAGCAGCAGCUGCCCAGGAGGCGGGCAUGGACCCCUCGGGCCAGGGGGAGCCCUCUGUACCCAAGUCUUCACCCAGGGCACGGCGCCAGCAGAUGGAUCUCAUCUCAGAGCUAAAGCGGAAGCAGCAGAAGGAGCCACUUAUCUAUGAGAGUGACCGUGAUGGUGCCAUCGAGGACAUCAUCACAGUGCUCAAGACAGUGCCCUUCACGGCCCGCACGGGCAAGCGGACAUCCCGGCUCCUCUGUGAGGCCAGCCUGGGGGAGGAGCUACCCCUGUAGCCCAGGUACCAGCUGGCCUAGGAGCAGAAUCUGUGCCUGUUCUGGCCAGUGUGCAGCGUGUGCAGGACAUACAAGAUCUACGGAACCAGCCCUACAUCCGCGCAGACAUGGGUCGACGCAGCGCCCGUCGGCGUCCCCUGGGACCCUCCCUUCAAGUUACCACCGACAUGGCCUUGUAGCCACCUGGUGGCAGGUGCAUGCUGGGGGCCUGGGACUCGAGGAUGACUAUGACCCCGAACAUUGCUCCAAGCACCUGGUCCCUAAAACAGCUGUACUCGGUGGGAGCCUGGCUUGUGACUUGAGAGCCACCUUGCCAUUCCAGGCCUCUGCCCCAGGACUCUCCCUGAGCCUUAUUUUUAUAUGAGAGUAAUAAAGAUGUUUGCAGAA
RNA transcript from Cavia porcellus (domestic guinea pig), 3872 nucleotides. It is a transcript of the gene named formin like 1, with no coding region annotated. The record is from RefSeq and is a predicted model, not a curated record. The transcript has 28 exons. NCBI's taxonomy places the organism in Eukaryota, Metazoa, Chordata, Mammalia, Rodentia, Caviidae.